CGAAAUCCGUCUCAUUUGCUUAUUUGCACGUACUUAACUUCUCCAACAUGAGCUCUUCACCCAUUGAUGUU
Molecule: small RNA, 71 nt
Filed under: Arabidopsis thaliana (thale cress)
Lineage: Eukaryota; Viridiplantae; Streptophyta; Magnoliopsida; Brassicales; Brassicaceae
Description: ATSL129060
Source: RNAcentral